GACGAACGCUGGCGGCGUACUUAACACAUGCAGGUCGAACGGGCCCGCUCUCUUUUUUGGGGGUGGGUUGAGUGGCGAACGGGUGAGUAUCACGUGAGUAACCUGCCCCCUGCUCCUGGAUAACUGCUUGAAAGGGCGGCUAAUACGGGGUGUGCCGGCUGGUCCGCAUGGGCCUGGUCGGGAUAGUUUCAUCUUCGGGUGUUUCGGUGGGGGAUGGGCUCGCGGCCUAUCAGCUUGCUGGUGGGGUGAUGGCCCACCAAGGCGGUGACGGGUAGCCGGCCUGAGAGGGUGGGCGGCCACACUGGGACUGAGACACGGCCCAGACUCCUGCGGGAGGCAGCAGUGGGGGGUAUUGCACAAUGGACGGAAGCCUGAUGCAGCGACGUCGCGUGAGGGAUGGAGGCCUUCGGGUUGUGAACCUCUUUCUCCGGUGGUGAAGGCCCUGUCCGUUGCGGCGGGGUUGACGGUAGCCGGGUAUGAAGCGCCGGCUAACUACGUG
RNAcentral lists this ribosomal RNA (499 nucleotides) under uncultured bacterium. Its description in RNAcentral is "partial 16S ribosomal RNA". It matches the Rfam family "Bacterial small subunit ribosomal RNA", at positions 28 to 507 of the family's 1533-position model. The record is from RNAcentral.